Molecule: ribosomal RNA, 601 nt
Filed under: uncultured bacterium
Lineage: Bacteria
Description: bacterial SSU rRNA
Rfam family: Bacterial small subunit ribosomal RNA
Source: RNAcentral
UCCUUAACUGACGCUAAUGCUCGAAAGUGCGGGUAUCGAACAGGAUUAGAUACCCUGGUAGUCCGCACGGUAAACGAUGGAUGCCCGCUGUUGGCGAUAUAUUGUCAGCGGCCAAGCGAAAGCGUUAAGCAUCCCACCUGGGGAGUACGCCGGCAACGGUGAAACUCAAAGGAAUUGACGGGGGCCCGCACAAGCGGAGGAACAUGUGGUUUAAUUCGAUGAUACGCGAGGAACCUUACCCGGGCUUGAACUGCCAGAGAACGACGGAGAGAUCCUGAGGCCCUUCGGGGCUCUGGUGGAGGUGCUGCAUGGUUGUCGUCAGCUCGUGCCGUGAGGUGUCGGCUUAAGUGCCAUAACGAGCGCAACCCUUUUCGCUAGUUGCCAUCAGGUUAUGCUGGGCACUCUGGCGAUACUGCCACCGUAAGGUGUGAGGAAGGUGGGGAUGACGUCAAAUCAGCACGGCCUUGACGUCCGGGGCUACACACGUGUUACAAUGGGUGGUACAGAGAGUCGGCCGUCUGCAAAUGCGGUCCAAUCAAUAAAGCCAUCCUCAGUUCGGAUUGGGGUCUGCAACCCGACCCCAUGAAGCUGGAUCGCUAGU